This 445-nucleotide ribosomal RNA is filed under the name Halomonas sp. R-43069. RNAcentral describes it as "bacterial SSU rRNA". It matches the Rfam family "Bacterial small subunit ribosomal RNA", at positions 21 to 467 of the family's 1533-position model. Lineage: Bacteria; Pseudomonadati; Pseudomonadota; Gammaproteobacteria; Oceanospirillales; Halomonadaceae. The record is from RNAcentral.
GGCUCAGAUUGAACGCUGGCGGCAGGCCUAACACAUGCAAGUCGAGCGGUAACAGGGGUAGCUUGCUACCCGCUGACGAGCGGCGGACGGGUGAGUAAUGCAUAGGAAUCUGCCCGGUAGUGGGGGAUAACCUGGGGAAACCCAGGCUAAUACCGCAUACGUCCUACGGGAGAAAGGGGGCUUCGGCUCCCGCUAUUGGAUGAGCCUAUGUCGGAUUAGCURGUUGGUGAGGUAAYGGCUCACCAAGGCGACGAUCCGUAGCUGGUCUGAGAGGAUGAUCAGCCACAUCGGGACUGAGACACGGCCCGAACUCCUACGGGAGGCAGCAGUGGGGAAUAUUGGACAAUGGGGGCAACCCUGAUCCAGCCAUGCCGCGUGUGUGAAGAAGGCCCUCGGGUUGUAAAGCACUUUCAGCGAGGAAGAACGCCUGUCGGUUAAUACCCGG